RNAcentral lists this ribosomal RNA (1275 nucleotides) under Triticum aestivum (bread wheat). Its description in RNAcentral is "partial small subunit ribosomal RNA". The record is from RNAcentral. Lineage: Eukaryota; Viridiplantae; Streptophyta; Magnoliopsida; Poales; Poaceae.
GAAAGAAAGAAGUGAUGGCGGCCCAGCCCAGUCCAGCCCGCGAUGAUGAUGGAAGACGAGGCCCGACUCGGAGCCGAGCUAGGGUUGGCCUGGAAAUAUAGAUAUAUAUAUAUAGGCCAGCCGCCGCCCCCUUGCCCCGUUUUGGUUGAGAAGAAAGAAGAUCGAGCGAGCGAGAAAUCCCCAAUCCCCACCAAACCCUAACCCAAACCCUAACCCUGAUUGAAACGACCAGGAGAGGAGAGGAGAGGAGCGGAUCCGGCGAUGGCCGUCGAGAAGAUGCACUUGUCCAUGCCGUUGCCCGCCGGCUUGGAGGGUUUCCCCUUCACCACGUUCCAGGCGGAGCUGGAGGCCUUCACCGUCAAGUUGAGGGCGGAGGCGAAGAAGGCCAAGGCCAAGCCGGAGGUCAAGGAGGCCAAGGCCAAGGAGGAGAAGGCCAAGCCGGAGGUCAAGGCCAAGGUGAAGAAGGCCAAGGCGAAGGAGGCCAAGCCGGAGGUCGAGGCCAAGGCAAAGGAGGCCAAGCCGGAGGUUAAGGCCAAGGCGAAGGAGGCCAAGGCGAAGGAGGCCAAGCCGGAGGUCGAGGCCAAGUCAAAGGAGGUCAAGGCCAAGGUGGAGUUGAGGACCCUCACCAAGGAGGAGGAGGAGGCGCUCAUCAAGUUCGUGGCGCUGCUGGAGAAGGAGGAGGACUUCCUCGACGCCAAGGCGGAGGCGGAGAAGGAGGCGGAGAAGUGUGGCUCCAAGAGGAAGGUGGAGUUGGAGCGGGAUGAGGAGGGGGCAGCGUUCCUGGCGUGGAUCGAGUCCACCAAGCCACAGACGGACCAAGUGGAUUACUCGGAUGGGGAUGUGUCGGACGGCUACCACUCGCAGGACGACAACAUCGGCAGCGACGGCAGGGUCAUGUCGCGGUAUGAGCGCCAUGUUCAGGCCAACAACGCUCGCUGUCCUUUCUUGGUGGGGGCCUAAUCCCAUCCACGACGGUGCUCUUGCUCUUGUGGUCUGAGAAGCUGACGAGGAGCUUCGCCAUUGCUAUCCCAUCUAGUACCAACCAUGUAUCUAUCUUAUCUAUCUAUAUUUCUAGUUGAUCCUGUGGACAUAUAUAUGUGGGAUUGAUCCGCCUACCCUGAUGCUAUUGUUGCGCACCGAUGAAGCAAUGUCAUUGUGAGACUGAUAAUCUAUCGAGUACUAGUAGUAUCUAGUAUAUGUUAAAUCUACUGGUGUUAUGCCCUUCGUAUGUGAUGAUGCAAUGUCUCUGAUGAUGCCAAUGUGAUGAGAUUUCUC